Long non-coding RNA from Mustela erminea (ermine), 67 nucleotides. RefSeq lists it as uncharacterized. The transcript is spliced from 3 exons. The record is from RefSeq and is a predicted model, not a curated record. Lineage: Eukaryota; Metazoa; Chordata; Mammalia; Carnivora; Mustelidae.
GUCCUUUCUGUCAGUUGCCUUUUAAUUUUGUUGACUGUUUCCUUUCCCGUGCAAAAGUUUUUUGUCU